CUAAAUUAUGGCAGGUUGAAAAUAUAUUUGGCUUCCAGUAAAAUGUUAUGAUUUCUUUCAAGACUAUAGUGCAUCUACUGUGUGUAUGACCAAGAAUAGUACCAUGAACAAAACAGAAGCAGGUGAGAGAUAAACAGACCGUAAUGCAGCAGCCUAAUAACCACAGCAGCCGGUCUCCUAAGGACAAGAGCCUGGAGACUGUGGAUGCUACCCACUCAGCAACCUGGAAUAAACCACAACUCCUCAACAGCAAGUCUCUUCCAAGUUCCAGUACCAAUACCUUACACUCUCUCUUGGCGAUCUUAUCCAGUGAGAGGACGGGGCGUUCGGGGGGGAGGUAGAGGGGUCGCCCCACUGGAGAUCCCACUGGAGGAGUGAUGGCCCGGCGCUCCAUAGCACUGCCCGUCCUGGAACAGAUGGGGCAGACAGACGCAACAGACAGGCACACACACAAGAUGGGGAUGAUUAGGAGAGAGUUCAUAGAGUCUGAGAGCGGUCAGAGAGGCACUGCCAGAACGUCUCUAACAGCAGGGCUGGAGGGAGAGUUGUGACGGGACAGGGACAGAGACAUGGGCCUGGCCUCAGCAGGAGGGUUGGAACAGGACGCUGUGAACUGGAGCUUCAGCUUCAUGUGCUGGCUUAACUGGAAAGGAAGAGGAGGGUGAGUGAGUAAUGUUUGGUAAGACAAGACCAGACCGGACCGGACCGGACGUGAGUGUGAGUGUGUUGGUACCUCAAACAGUCCUGCCUUGAGAAUCUGGAAGGCAACUGUGAAGGAGAGGGUGGAUCCUUUCCGACAUUGUCCCAAGUUGUUGAGGGGGGAGUGACACACCACAGAACUCGCUGACGGGUCCUCCUGCCGACCACGUCCUGGGGGGAGGAAGGAAGAGAGGAUGGUGUUUAGUUUAACCAAGGAGAGAGCAAUAUAAUAUAACCUAAAGUCAUUCUGUUCAUCUGGUAUGUAGUCAGUUAGUUAGGGGCUUUGUUGCAAAUCAUGACUGGAUGUUAGACAGGAUUCACCCCUCAUCUACCACUACACAUCUCCCUCCCUCCCUCCCUCCCUCCCUCCCUCCCUCCCUCCCUCCCUCCCUCCCUCCCUCCCUCCCUCCCUCCCUCCCUCGUAACAACCUAUCCAUUAUUUUUUCUCACUUUCCUCCAUCUUCCCUCUGUCUCUUUCAAUCCCUCUUCCAAUCUCUCUCUAUCACUCUUUCCCCCCCUCCAUAAUAAUUAUCUCUUCUUACCUUCGGGUGUCCAGACCAGGCGUACAGCCAGGAAGUCCUGCAGGUUGUUGAGGAGGGUGUAUUUGACCCGGAAGUGCUCCAGCGGCCUCACGGAACUCUGACAAGAAGCUGUCAUCACCAAACGGGGGCGGUCCAGUCUCACACUGGGUAGCUGGUAGUGGGUCGAAAUGUACCUGGGGAAGGGAAGUGAAGAAGGUCAAAUCAGAUAAUAAUGGGGUAGGUAUAUUUGGACAGAUAAUAGAGUUAAUGAAGAGUAGUUAUUAUGGGUUAGUUCCAACAAAUACUGGGUGUACACUUACCUUGUGAAGGGAAGGCUUGUCGUUAUGCUUGUAGUUAUAACAGGAUAGUUACAGUGCAUUCGGAAAGUAUUGGGACCCCUUCCCACAUUUAGUUACGUUACAGCCUUAUUCUAAAAUGGAUUCAAAUACUUUUCCCCCCUCAUCAAUCUAUACACAAUACCCCAUAAUGACAAAGCGAAAACAGGUUUUUCAAGAUUUUUGCAAAUUUAUAAAAAAUUGAUUGAAAAAAACACCUUAUUUACUUAAGUAUUCAGACCCUUUGCUAUGAGACUCGAAAUUGGGCUCAGGUGCAUCCUGUUUCUAUUGAUCAUCCUUGAGAUGUUUCUACAACUUGAUUGGCGUCCACCUGUGGUAAAUUCAAUUGAUUUGGAAAGACACGCACCUGUCUAUAUAAGAUCCCACAGUUGACAGUGCAUGUCAGUGCAAAAACCAAGCCAUGAGGUCAAAGGAAUUGUCCGUAGAGCUCCAGGACAGGAUUGUGUCGAGGCACAGAUCUGGGGAAGGGUAUAAAAACAUUUCUGCAGCAUUGAAGGUCCCCAAGAACACAGUAGUCUCCAUCAUUCUUAAAUGGAAGAAGUUUGGAACCACAAAGACUCUUCCAAGAGCUGGCUGAAUGGCCAAACUAAGCAAUCGGGGGAGAAAGGCUUUGGUCAGGGAGGUGAUUAAGAACCCUAUGGUCACUCUGACAGAGCUCCAGAGUUCCUCUGUGGAGAUGGGAGAACAUUCCAGAAGGACAACCAUCUCUGUAGCACCACCAAUCAGUAAAAGGCACAUGACAGCCAAAAGGCACAUGACAGCCAAAAGGCACCUAAAGGACUCUCAGACCAUGAGAAACAAGAUUCUCUGGUCUGAUGAAACCAAGAUUUAACUCCAGCAAGCAUUUUUUCUUACCGAGAUUACUGUUCUAAAACAUGUUCUUGGGUUUAAAAUAAUCCAUACUGAAACUUUCAGAUGAAGGUUGUGUGAAUUAAACAUGGUCAAUUGCUUUCAUGAGCUUUUUCUCUCACUGCCCUGAGUUUAAGACAAGGGUUUAACCAUCUUGGAAUUCAGAACAUAUCCAAGAAUCUUUUUGCGAAAGGAGAAACAUAAGAAAUAGCACAAGAACAUUUCCUAGAACCUUCUUGAGGAACAGCACCGUUGCUUAACCCUCUUCGAGUCUAUAGUUAAGGAAAAAAUGGCAGUUAAGAGGAAAAUGCUUCUUAAGACUUUUUGUGAAUCCGGCCCCUGGGCCUCCUGAGUGGCGCAGCAGUCUAAUGCUAGAGGCAUCAUUACAGACCCGGGUUCGAUCCCGGGCAGUAUCCCAACCGGCCGUCAUCCCAUAGGGCGGCGCACAAUUGGCCAAGCGUUGUCCGGGUUAGGGGAGGGUCUGGCGGGGGGGCUAUACUUGGUUCAUCGCGAUCUCUAGCGACUCCUUAUGGCAGGCUGGGCACUUGCAAGCACACCCCAGUCAUAAGUUGAACGGUGUUUCCUCUGACACAUUGGUGCGGCUGGCUCCCAGGUUAAGCGGGCGAGUUUUAAGAAGCAUGGUUGGGCGGGUCAUAUUUCGGAGGACGCAUGACUCGACCUUCGCCUCCCGAGCCCAUUGGGGGGUUGCAGCGAUGAGACAAGAUCAAAACUGUGGAGAAAAAGAGGGUAAAAUAAAAACAUUUAAAAAUAGACCUACCUGGUAAAUGGAAGCUUAGAGGUAGACCAUUGCAGCACAGCCACCAAUGGAACCUCCAGACCCUAAAGCAGAAAGAAAAACACAUUCCUCAAAUGAUAUCAUGCUGUAGACAUAAGGACAUUAUUGGCAGAUCUUUCAUGCAUACGUUUAAUCUAAAACAGUUUAAAUGAUCUCACACUAAAGCCGGUUGUACACGACACAAAGAAAAAAUAUAUAUAAUAAUUUGCUAAGCGAUGGAAUUGCCAACAUAGUGGUGCGCACACUAAACAAUGUGGCACACUAAACAAUGUGGCACACUAAACAAUGUGGCACACUAAACAAUGUGGCACACUAAACAAUGUGGCACACUAAACAAUGUGGCACACUAAACAAUGUGGCACAGAUGGGGGUCACACGCUACAAUAUUCUUCACUUGGUCGUAAGGAUUGUCGAUACCACGCUGUCUCGCCAAAACAACGAUGUGAUUAGAUUUAACUUAGCUACAACGAGCUGUGGCUCAAAGCAGCCUCAAAUAUCUUCAGUCAGACAUUAACGCUUGCCAUACAAUGCAAUCUGAAAGUAUUCAGACCCCUUGACUUUUUCCAAAUGUUUUCAUUUUACAGCCCCAAUUGUUUUUCUCCCUCAUCAAUCUACACACAAUACCCCAUAGCGACAAAGCAAAAACUAUUUAUAAGAAAUAAAAACUGAAAUAUCACAUUUACAUAAGUAUUCAGACCCUUUACUCAGUACUUUGUUGAAGCACCUUUGGCAGCGAUUACAGCCUCAAGUCUUCUUGGGUAUGAUGCUACAAGCUCGGCACACCUGUAUUUGGGAAGUUUCUCCCAUUUCUCUCUGCAGAGCCUCUAAAGCUCUGUCAGGUUGGAUGGGGAGCGUCGCUGCACAGCUAUUUUUAAGUCUCUCCAGAGAUGUAUUGGGUUCAAGUCCGGGCUCUGUCUGGGCCACUCAAGGACAUUGUGGUGGUGAAAUUACAAUAUUAUGUUAUAAUACUGUUAUUGCAUCAAAUGGUAAUUUUAUGCAACAGAAUAGGGUUCUUAGAACUCUAUUGUGUCUGUGUGAACUAAGAGUGGGCCUCUGCGGCUUAAUGCUAAGAGUAGAUUUACGUUGCCUUAAGUGAUAAACCUAACAAGCCACAUUCCAUUCAUGUGAGGGAAAUUGCUCUGCUCUGACUGGAUGGCACUGGGGAGAGAUGGCUCGGGUUGAGAGGAACCUCGUUUUGGGGGCCAAACCCUGGUUUUCAUACAAUGAGAACAGUCUUCACAGCAGAUACUGUCUGCUAUGAAUUAUUCAUUUAUUUCAUACAAAUCCUAACCUUGUGACCAAUUCCACACAUCUGUUGUUUGUCAUCUAGACUAAGGUGGUGUAUCUUUGCCAUAUAAAAGAUGUUGGUAUUUCUUGUGUCGGGACUCUCAACACAACAUUCAAGAAUGUUGUGUCGACCAGCCAUCGUUAUUGCAGAGCACUCACAUGAAUCACCUGUGUGUGUGGUGUGACAUGCUAUUCUUAUUAAUAAGUGAAUAAAGAUUUUGUUUAACUCUGA
Oncorhynchus masou masou (cherry salmon) is the source of this 4740-nucleotide long non-coding RNA. RefSeq lists it as uncharacterized. The record is from RefSeq and is a predicted model, not a curated record. NCBI's taxonomy places the organism in Eukaryota, Metazoa, Chordata, Actinopteri, Salmoniformes, Salmonidae. The transcript is spliced from 5 exons.